UCAAAUUAAGUAAUAAGAUAAUAUUUAAACGACUAAUAUUUAAAUUGGAUAGUGUUCCCUCCUCUUUAGCCGAAUGUAGACUCUUUCGUACUCUUUGAUUGUCUAGAGUUAAUUGUCUUUUAAUUAAAUAAUUAAUUUGAAGUAGACUUAAUGAAGAAUGUAAAAUUGGAACUUGAUUCCAUGUGGAGAUUUAGCUAAG
RNAcentral lists this long non-coding RNA (199 nucleotides) under Carica papaya (papaya). RNAcentral describes it as "long non-coding RNA (CPAP_LNC011548)". The record is from RNAcentral. Lineage: Eukaryota; Viridiplantae; Streptophyta; Magnoliopsida; Brassicales; Caricaceae.